This is a long non-coding RNA of Diceros bicornis minor, 230 nucleotides long. RefSeq lists it as uncharacterized. The transcript has 3 exons. The record is from RefSeq and is a predicted model, not a curated record. NCBI's taxonomy places the organism in Eukaryota, Metazoa, Chordata, Mammalia, Perissodactyla, Rhinocerotidae.
AGAGCCAGCCAGCUGAGAGACAUAUUCCACUCCUGCCUGGUCACCGACUUGAUAAUAUUCUCCCAACAGAGAUGACACCUUGAUUGUGAAGCCUGGUAAGCCUGCAGGAAGCCCCAGCCCAGGGUAGGAGGCGAGUAUCUUGAUGCUGUGCCUCAUCGAAGAGAACCAGGAUGCAGACCAGAAAAUGAGGCUCAGAGCGGCAGUGACUUACCAAAGAUCACACAUCUGGG